This 106-nucleotide ribosomal RNA is filed under the name Diuris punctata. RNAcentral's name for it is "partial 18S ribosomal RNA". It matches the Rfam family "Eukaryotic small subunit ribosomal RNA", at positions 1726 to 1831 of the family's 1831-position model. Lineage: Eukaryota; Viridiplantae; Streptophyta; Magnoliopsida; Asparagales; Orchidaceae. The record is from RNAcentral.
UGGUUCGCCGCCUGCGAUGCUGCGAGAAGUCCAUUGAGCCUUAUCAUUUAGAGGAAGGAGAAGUCGUAACAAGGUUUCCGUAGGUGAACCUGCGGAAGGAUCAUUG